Molecule: ribosomal RNA, 1395 nt
Filed under: uncultured bacterium
Lineage: Bacteria
Description: bacterial SSU rRNA
Rfam family: Bacterial small subunit ribosomal RNA
Source: RNAcentral
AGAGUUUGAUCAUGGCUCAGGACGAACGCUGGCGGCGUGCCUAAUACAUGCAAGUCGAGCGAGCUUGCCUAGAUGAUUUUGGUGCUUGCACUAAAUGAAACUAGAUACAAGCGAGCGGCGGACGGGUGAGUAACACGUGGGGAACCUGCCCCUAAGUCUGGGAUACCAUUUGGAAACAGGUGCUAAUACCGGAUAAUAAAGCAGAUCGCAUGAUCAGCUUUUGAAAGGCGGCGUAAGCUGUCGCUAAGGGAUGGCCCCGCGGUGCAUUAGCUAGUUGGUAAGGUAACGGCUCACCAAGGCGAUGAUAGGUAGCCGGCCUGAGAGGGUGAACGGCCACAAGGGGACUGAGACACGGCCCUUACUCCUACGGGAGGCAGCAGUGGGGAAUAUUGCACAAUGGGGGAAACCCUGAUGCAGCGACGCCGCGUGGAGGAAGAAGGUCUUCGGAUUGUAAACUCCUGUUGUUGAGGAAGAUAAUGACGGUACUCAACAAGGAAGUGACGGCUAACUACGUGCCAGCAGCCGCGGUAAAACGUAGGUCACAAGCGUUGUCCGGAAUUACUGGGUGUAAAGGGAGCGCAGGCGGGAAGACAAGUUGGAAGUGAAAUCUAUGGGCUCAACCCAUAAACUGCUUUCAAAACUGUUUUUCUUGAGUAGUGCAGAGGUAGGCGGAAUUCCCGGUGUAGCGGUGGAAUGCGUAGAUAUCGGGAGGAACACCAGUGGCGAAGGCGGCCUACUGGGCACCAACUGACGCUGAGGCUCGAAAGUGUGGGUAGCAAACAGGAUUAGAUACCCUGGUAGUCCACACCGUAAACGAUGAUUACUAGGUGUUGGAGGAUUGACCCCUUCAGUGCCGCAGUUAACACAAUAAGUAAUCCACCUGGGGAGUACGACCGCAAGGUUGAAACUCAAAGGAAUUGACGGGGGCCCGCACAAGCAGUGGAGUAUGUGGUUUAAUUCGACGCAACGCGAAGAACCUUACCAAGUCUUGACAUCCUGCGACGUGCAUAGAAAUAUGUAUUUCCUUCGGGACGCAGAGACAGGUGGUGCAUGGUUGUCGUCAGCUCGUGUCGUGAGAUGUUGGGUUAAGUCCCGCACGAGCGCACCCUUACUGUCAGUUACUACGCAAGAGGACUCUGGCAGGACUGCCGUUGACAAAACGGAGGAAAGUGGGGAUGACGUCAAAUCAUCAUGCCCUUUAUGACUUGGGCUACACACGUACUACAAUGGCGUUAAACAAAGAGAAGCAAGACCGCGAGGUGGAGCAAAACUCAGAAACAACGUCCCAGUUCGGACUGCAGGCUGCAACUCGCCUGCACGAAGUCGGAAUUGCUAGUAAUCGUGGAUCAGCAUGCCACGGUGAAUACGUUCCCGGGCCUUGCACACACCGCCCGU